This is a long non-coding RNA of Olea europaea var. sylvestris, 1699 nucleotides long. RefSeq lists it as uncharacterized. The record is from RefSeq and is a predicted model, not a curated record. Lineage: Eukaryota; Viridiplantae; Streptophyta; Magnoliopsida; Lamiales; Oleaceae. The transcript is spliced from 2 exons.
UCAUAAGUUUCAUAUUUUAUUCUUUUGUUAUUAAUUCAUUUCCAGGUGGUGAACUUGAUGUAGUUUUUUAUACCGGCUUUUAAAGUGGGGAAAAUUUACAUUUUAACAUCUCAAACUAGUCUUCUAAGCAAGCUCUUCAAAACAACAGAGAAGCCAGCUGUCAGAGGUUUCAUUUUAUAGUUCUAUUUAGUAGUAAAUGACUGUGAAGAAUGGCAUGGGGUAAGAUAAAGGCAAAGGUUCAAAGGAGCAGUUCGUACACAUUUUCUUGCAGCAGACCACAUGAUAAGGGCAAAGGUUCAAAGGAGCACUUCUGAGGGAGAGAGAGGCCACAUGACAUCCUAGGUUUAAUUUGGCUCGUUUGAUGAAGACAAAGUUAAGUUUUACUGUUAUAACUAAUUAAAUUUCCUUUUCACUAUGACAAUCUUUUUUGUAAUAGCUACAAGCUCCGUUUAUCAAUAUAGUUGUAUGCACUCUAAUUUUUCGGUUAAUGAUAAAGCCAAUAAGGUUGAGCCUCUUUAAUGCAUCAGCAUUGGAAUUUCCUAGAACCACAGGGGGACCCUACAUAUAUUAUUUGGUCACGAAUGAGGUAGUACAAUUUUUUCUUUUAUAUCUUGCUUCAUGUUUCCUUUAUUUAAUUUUAAAAAACUAUGUGUCUCUGAGUUGUUUUUGAAUUGCAGUCUCUUCUUUCCGGUGACAUUAAAAUCCUGAACUUGGAAUUUUGCAAUCAAAAUUAGCAAAUGAUACUGAACUAUUCUUGGUCAAUAAAGGUUGCUACUUUUGGUCGAUAGAGAAUAUUCUUGUGGUGAAAAGGAAAAUAUAGAUAAAAGUAAAGGAUACAAAGUUUUUCCUUGAACCGUCAGAAAGUGUUUCUCGUGCGUAAGGACAAAGGACAAAAGAAAGGCGCUAAAAUAAGAAUAAAUUCUUUGAAUUAGGUGGGUCCAUUGAAUUCAAUACUUCACGGGAACACUAAAUUUGGUUGGUAAAAUGAAUUGAAUUGUGCUUCCUGGUUUCCACUCCAAUACUUAUGAGGACCUCUAAAUAUGGUUGUUGCUUUCCUUUAUUUAAUUUUUAAAUAACUAUAUAUAUGGAUUUAUAAUAUUUUAUGUAUGGAUUUAUUCCAAAGAAUUGGAGAUAAUACCUCUCACUGCACAUCACAUGUUAUAAUUACUCUCAAGCCCCUCCAGUAGUGAUUUGAUUAUAUUAAUACGUUGAGUUAUAAGAUUUUGGGGCAUUUUGGGUCCUUUAUCUAAUUUUUAAAUAACUGUCUCGCUAAGUUAUUUAAAAAUAACAUGAUGUUUUUGGAUUGCACGUUUUGGGUUGUUUAUCUAAUUUUUAAAUGACAUGUUUUUUUUGGAUUGCCCGUUUUGAUCUUUCUUCCUUUCUUUAGCAGAGGCAUUGUUCCAUGGAAAAGGCAAUCGACAUUAAAAUCCUGAACUUGGGGAAUUGCAGUAUGAUGCAGUCUCUUCUUUCCGGUGACAUUGAAAUCAUGAAUUGCACAAGAAGUUCUUUCGGUUAAAACGCCGUUCGACUUGGAGGACAAUAAAGAUAAGUCUUGUCGUUACGGCAACUACCAGCAAAGAAGAAAAUUAUGCUUCUAUCAAUACUCUUCAAAUUACUACUUAUCGAUUGAAUGGCCACAAUUUUUUAUAAUGGUCUCAAGCUGUAAAAAUAUUUUUGAGGAGUAUUAUCUUAAUGGUUC